RNAcentral lists this ribosomal RNA (387 nucleotides) under Atherurus africanus. Its description in RNAcentral is "partial 12S ribosomal RNA". It matches the Rfam family "Bacterial small subunit ribosomal RNA", at positions 796 to 1384 of the family's 1533-position model. Lineage: Eukaryota; Metazoa; Chordata; Mammalia; Rodentia; Hystricidae. The record is from RNAcentral.
UUAGCCGUAAACACAAAAAAUUCGUAACAAAAUUUUUUGCCAGAGAACUACUAGCAACAGCUUAAAACUCAAAGGACUUGGCGGUGCUUCACAACCAUCUAGAGGAGCCUGUUCUAUAAUCGAUAAUCCCCGAUAAACCUCACCACUUUUUGCUAAUCCAGCCUAUAUACCGCCAUCUCCAGCAAACCCUAACAAGGAACAAAAGUGAGCACAAGUAUCACACAUAAAUACGUUAGGUCAAGGUGUAGCCAAUAAAGUGGGAAGAAAUGGGCUACAUUUUCUAACCAAGAACAUCCACGAUAAUCUUUAUGAAAGCUAAAGAUCUAAGGAGGAUUUAGUAGUAAAUUAAGAAUAGAGCGCUUAAUUGAAUGAGGCCAUGAAGCACGC